This 1568-nucleotide long non-coding RNA is filed under the name Zostera marina. RNAcentral's name for it is "long non-coding RNA (ZMAR_LNC003396)". The record is from RNAcentral. Lineage: Eukaryota; Viridiplantae; Streptophyta; Magnoliopsida; Alismatales; Zosteraceae.
CUUACAUAUCUUAGGAGACUUCUGUUCAAUUGUACCUAAACAAAUACACUCACAUUCAAAGUUUCUAAAAGGACAGGUGUCGCAAUUAAUACGGAACUUGAAGAUAAUUAAAAGUAGAAAAAUUGACUUACUGCCUUUCCUUUUCGAAAGAAUGAAUUGAUCGAGAUCUGGAGAGGAUUCCCUUUUUGGAGAAGACAAAUUGCAAUCUAUGUCAUGAAUCAAACUGUCUACGACAUAGUUAGCGCGUUAUAAAUCACGCGCUGCAUAUUACAGGUUAUUGCAAACAAAUAUUAAGACUAAACUAAUCAUAUGAAAAGAAAUUAAAUUAAAAACAAUAUUUUUAAUCAUACCAGUAGAUGGAAGUUGUUCGUUUUGUGGAUUAGUUUUCUCAUUGUUUAUUCCUUUAUCAGAAGACAUUCUCGCAAACAACUACAUUCAAUAAAAACGACAGAGAGCAAUUAAAAUUAUUUGUAUUACAAGACGAAUAGCACUAAUGUUAUUUGAAAAAAAAAACAAUCAUUAAAAAAACACACAAAAAAAGACUAGACUGGAAUGAUCAAACUAGAAUACAAGAAAAAUUUAUUCAACAACCGCACUGUGUUACUAGAAGACAUUAUCAGAACUACAGACGACCUUAUCAGAACAUCUUGUCAGACAAAACAAUUAUUUUAGCAGAACAAAACAGUACAUUAACAAAAACAAAUUGAAAAAAAAAAUCUACCGAAUAUAAACAUGGUUCUUGCAUAGCCCACGAAAUCAAGAUAUAAGAUGAAAAAUAGAGAAUCAAGAUAAAAGAGAUCAAUAAAGACUAGUAACAGAUUUUGAAGGAAAAAUUUAAAACUAAUUUGAACAUUUCCUCUUUAAAACUAAAUCAAAAAAUUACAAACAAGCAAAAAAAAUAAAACAAGAAUAAAACAGAACAAAUCGAAGAGAAUGAACAUAUAGAACAAAACAAGAAAAAAUAAAAUGCCCAAAAACAGAGAUAUCAAAAGAUUCAGUCGACAGUACCUAAACAGAACCAAGAAAAAAUAACUAACAGCAUCCGAAAACUCUUAUCAAAGAAGAAACCAUAUUUAUAGAAUAACUGGCCAGAUAUUGUAGAAAAACGAGUUAAUAAUAUCGAAACGUUUAUCUUAGAAACGUCUUUGGGGGAAGAAAAUGGGUAGAAAAAAUUAUGACAAGAAAAGGAUAGGAUUAGGGAGAGGAAUAAAAAAUCAUACAAUUAAAACCCUAACCUAACACGGAGAAUACAUAGUAGGAAUAAUAAGCAUGAGAUGAAACGGGAAGGACGACGGACAAAUGAACUGAAAAAAUUGUACGCCGAUAGAGGGGAAAAAACAGUACCUUUUUCGACGAUGCAGUGAAGAUUUUUCGUCGGCCGACGGCUAGCGGACACGGAGAAAAAGACGUCUACCUCUACUUCAAAGGGACGAACGCAAGGAGGAUGACCAGAUCACGUCGCCGGAACAGAGGAUCGGAGUAUCGCCGUGGUCGGAGGGUUUUUGGUGGGUUUUGGAGGGAGAGCGGAAGUGGAAGAAAUCUUUUUUUGAAUAAUAAAUAAAUUUUUU